ACUUCGUCUCUUUCAAAGACCCAUGGAAUAAUUUGAAAAUACUUGUUGCACAGAUAGUACUAAAAUACAGAGAGGAGGCUUAAGGCACAUUGGUGUAACAGGUAAAGAAAUACAGGUGCGGGUUUGUAUAAUCAUGUAUUGGCUAUACCAGUAUCCUCGGAAUAUGACUGCCUGAAAGAGAGAUCAAAGAAACACAUGAGAAAUAUUGGAAUCUAGAAUACACUGGCACAAAAGGGAAAACGGGCCCUAUGGCACUUGAGUAUUACGAGUAGCGCCAGUGCUACGAAGGUGUCUGUGGAUAUUUUUCUUAGAGUUCUGUAUGUACGGGAAAGACGUGCUUCGGGAGUUGAUUCCAUCGACUAGCACUUUUUUAUAAAAAGUUCUAGCCAUCUGCAGAUGCACUCGAUACUCAAGAGUCGCAUCUGCCUCUUGAGUAGAUCUUGCGUGUAUAGCUUUUGGUGGAAUAGUAUGACCCAGUUCGGAAGACAUGAUAGAACUAAUAAAAUAGUCAGGUCCGCCACCUUCCUUAUAUGCGCCAAACUGUCUAAGCUGCUAGUUAUAAGACGUAUGAUACUCUUCUGGAUGGAAACAAGCAACUUCAAAGUGUGUUUGUGUGUAGAGAGCAAUUCUCAAGAGAUGGACGAAUCUGGGCCUUAUAAAGCGUUAAAAGCUGUUGCGCGUUUUCAUUUUAAACAGAGACCCAAGUUUUUGAGAAGCCGCUUUACCUAUUCCUGCUACCUGAUCAUGUCAAAACAUAUUGCUUCCAACCUCGACAACUAACCAGCGAAUUGAAGAAGACAGCAAACAUCCAAAGGUAUUGCACAGAAUUGACCAUAUUUCUCGAUAGCUUCGGCCCAAACAUAGGUGACAUAAGCCAACUAUUGUUUUAUUAUUUAUUAUUUAUAUAUAUUUUUAUUAUAUAUUAGAUUGCCAGUAGACCUGUGUUUUUAAAAACAAACCCGGCGGCGUAUUUACAUACUAUACUACAGCACAGAGCACCAUAGAACUCGGCGGCUCUGCACCGCAGUAUAAUAUGUAGUUGAGAAAUGCGCUUAUUUAUCACUACAUACUAUACUACGCUACAGAGCAUUAGAAAGAAAAAUGUUUUUAUGUGAUUUUUUGGGGCUGUAAAAUUGGUAGUAACAGUGAAUGAAUGUGUAAUUAUUUACGGUAUUAUUAUUAUUGGUUUUUGUUUCAUUUUUGUUGGUGAUUUUAAUUUAGAAGAUGAGGCGUGUUAAAAUAUUUAAUGAAUACAUUAAUGGUACUUUAAAAUUUAAAAAUAAUGUUGUGAAGGUGUGUUGUAUUUUGGGUUUUAGAAUUUCGAUAGUGCUUUAUUUUUAAGUUAGGUUUAUUAUUUUUAUGUAUAUGAAUAAAGUAUGUAUUUGAAUAGGUACAUAUAAAUCAUUGUUAGAUUUUAAUAAGGUGCUACCUAUUUAGUUUAGAUUUAGAAGAUAGGUUUAGAAAUUUAGGGCCUAAUGAAUAAAAAGAAAGGAAUUACCUACUUCUGCUUAAAAUAUGAAAGCAAAACCUGAAGACUUUGCGGAUUAGAAAUGGUAGAAUUAGAUGCAUAUUCUUGUGUGUUAAUGAGACAGAAUGUAUAGGAAUAUACAGGUUAUUAUUUAUUUUCUUUUUAUUUUACUCAUCUACCUAAUAUUGUCUAACAUAGAUUGGACAUAUUACCUAUCUAUAGACAAUAUUACUAAACUUAAGGAGUUUAUACGAACACCACUGUUAAUUAGUAAGAAAAAGCUGUAAGAAAUCAUUCAAUAUUUUAUUAGAUCUAUUUCAUAAAAAAAAAUAAAAGAGAUGAUACCUAGUAUUCAUAACAAAAAGAUUCAAUUCAAUAGUACCUAUCUUAAGAAGAAUUGAAAUAUUUAGUGAUAUAUUGCGGUUUGACGAUUGUAGGGCACAAGUUAAUUUAGUGACCUUGGAGCCUUAACGGAUGGAUAUUUCUAACUAUUAAUCUAUUAUAGAAGUGAUGUUAGAAAUAUCCAUCACACACAAAUGAAAAUAACAGUGAAGAAAAAGAUGACACACUUACGUUUUUUGGUUCAAAAUUUGCCUUCAUAUCUGGAUCUUAUCCAGAUGAUCUAUUUAAGAGAAAAGAAGUUGCGGUAGAACAAUUAAGUCAA
This 2132-nucleotide long non-coding RNA is filed under the name Anthonomus grandis grandis. RNAcentral describes it as "uncharacterized LOC126748329". The record is from RNAcentral. Lineage: Eukaryota; Metazoa; Arthropoda; Insecta; Coleoptera; Curculionidae.